This 305-nucleotide ribosomal RNA is filed under the name uncultured bacterium. RNAcentral's name for it is "bacterial SSU rRNA". It matches the Rfam family "Bacterial small subunit ribosomal RNA", at positions 337 to 634 of the family's 1533-position model. The record is from RNAcentral.
GCCUACGGGAGGCAGCAGUAGGGAAUCUUCCACAAUGGGCGAAAGCCUGAUGGAGCAACGCCGCGUGGGUGAAGAAGGUCUUCGGAUCGUAAAACCCUGUUGUUAGAGAAGGAAGUGCGUGAGAGUAACUGUUCACGUUUCGACGGUAUCUAACCAGAAAGCCACGGCUAACUACGUGCCAGCAGCCGCGGUAAUACGUAGGUGGCAAGCGUUAUCCGGAUUUAUUGGGCGUAAAGAGAACGCAGGCGGUCUUUUAAGUCUGAUGUGAAAGCCUCCGGCUUAACCGGAGUAGGGCAUUGGAAACU